RNAcentral lists this long non-coding RNA (240 nucleotides) under Mytilus galloprovincialis (Mediterranean mussel). Lineage: Eukaryota; Metazoa; Mollusca; Bivalvia; Mytilida; Mytilidae. The record is from RNAcentral.
UCGGUGUUGACAUGAAUAUCAAUUCUAUGGUCAUUUUUAUAAAUUUUCUGUUUACAAAACUUUGAAUUUUUCGAAAUACUAAGGAUUUUCUUACCCCAGGAGUAGAUUACCUUAGCCGUAUUUGGCACAACUUUUUGGAAUUUUGGAUCCUCAAUGCUCUUCAACUUUGUAUUUAUUUGGCUUUUUAACUAUUUUGAUCUGAGCGUCACUGAUGAGUCUUAUGUAGACGAAACGCGCGUC